UGAGUAACCUGCCCUUAACUCUGGGAUAAGCCUGGGAAACUGGGUCUAAUACCGGAUAUGACUCCUCAUCGCAUGGUGGGGGGUGGAAAGCUUUAUUGUGGUUUUGGAUGGACUCGCGGCCUAUCAGCUUGUUGGUGAGGUAAUGGCUCACCAAGGCGACGACGGGUAGCCGGCCUGAGAGGGUGACCCGGCCACACUGGGACUGAGACACGGCCCAGACCUCCGUACGGGGAGGCAG
Molecule: ribosomal RNA, 238 nt
Filed under: uncultured bacterium
Lineage: Bacteria
Description: partial 16S ribosomal RNA
Rfam family: Bacterial small subunit ribosomal RNA
Source: RNAcentral